UGAGUAACACGUGGGUAACCUGCCUGUAAGACUGGGAUAACUCCGGGAAACCGGGGCUAAUACCGGAUGGUUGUUUGAACCGCAUGGUUCAGACAUAAAAGGUGGCUUCGGCUACCACUUACAGAUGGACCCGCGGCGCAUUAGCUAGUUGGUGAGGUAACGGCUCACCAAGGCGACGAUGCGUAGCCGACCUGAGAGGGUGAUCGGCCACACUGGGACUGAGACACGGCCCAGAUUCCUACGGGAGGCAGCAGUAGGGAAUCUUCCGCAAUGGACGAAAGUCUGACGGAGCAACGCCGCGUGAGUGAUGAAGGUUUUCGGAUCGUAAAGCUCUGUUGUUAGGGAAGAACAAGUGCCGUUCAAAUAGGGCGGCACCUUGACGGUACCUAACCAGAAAGCCACGGCUAACUACGUGCCAGCAGCCGCGGUAAUACGUAGGUGGCAAGCGUUGUCCGGAAUUAUUGGGCGUAAAGGGCUCGCAGGCGGUUUCUUAAGUCUGAUGUGAAAGCCCCCGGCUCAACCGGGGAGGGUCAUUGGAAACUGGGGAACUUGAGUGCAGAAGAGGAGAGUGGAAUUCCACGUGUAGCGGUGAAAUGCGUAGAGAUGUGGAGGAACACCAGUGGCGAAGGCGACUCUCUGGUCUGUAACUGACGCUGAGGAGCGAAAGCGUGGGGAGCGAACAGGAUUAGAUACCCUGGUAGUCCACGCCGUAAACGAUGAGUGCUAAGUGUUAGGGGGUUUCCGCCCCUUAGUGCUGCAGCUAACGCAUUAAGCACUCCGCCUGGGGAGUACGGUCGCAAGACUGAAACUCAAAGGAAUUGACGGGGGCCCGCACAAGCGGUGGAGCAUGUGGUUUAAUUCGAAGCAACGCGAAGAACCUUACCAGGUCUUGACAUCCUCUGACAAUCCUAGAGAUAGGACGUCCCCUUCGGGGGCAGAGUGACAGGUGGUGCAUGGUUGUCGUCAGCUCGUGUCGUGAGAUGUUGGGUUAAGUCCCGCAACGAGCGCAACCCUUGAUCUUAGUUGCCAGCAUUCAGUUGGGCACUCUAAGGUGACUGCCGGUGACAAACCGGAGGAAGGUGGGGAUGACGUCAAAUCAUCAUGCCCCUUAUGACCUGGGCUACACACGUGCUACAAUGGGCAGAACAAAGGGCAGCGAAACCGCGAGGUUAAGCCAAUCCCACAAAUCUGUUCUCAGUUCGGAUCGCAGUCUGCAACUCGACUGCGUGAAGCUGGAAUCGCUAGUAAUCGCGGAUCAGCAUGCCGCGGUGAAUACGUUCCCGGGCCUUGUACACACCGCCCGUCACACCACGAGAGUUUGUAACACCCGAAGUCGGUGAG
RNAcentral lists this ribosomal RNA (1341 nucleotides) under Bacillus sp. (in: firmicutes). RNAcentral describes it as "bacterial SSU rRNA". It matches the Rfam family "Bacterial small subunit ribosomal RNA", at positions 107 to 1434 of the family's 1533-position model. The record is from RNAcentral. Lineage: Bacteria; Bacillati; Bacillota; Bacilli; Caryophanales; Bacillaceae.